CCAUCUCAAACGGGCCGCCGUCCUGUCCGAUUGGGUCUAAUCACAAAGGUUUGGACAAAAAGCUCUCCUGUGCAUAUAACAAACACAUAAGCAUCCUCAUAUGUAUUCCUAACUAUCUCUUUGAUGUUGCAGCUCAAUGACGAAGUCUUCCAUGGCAAACGAAACCUUUUGUCAAAUCAAUACUACCAGUAGAGGAAAGGAAUUAACAAUCAAGGCAAGAGUAUCAAGACUAUGGGAUUCCAUAUUGAUCGGUAAUGAUGAAAUACUUAGUCUAGACAUGGUCCUUAUUGAUGAAGAGGUAUUAUGGUUCCCUCAUAGAAAUUACAUCCUUUCUUGAUUCUUUUUAUAAUUUAGCUUCAAUCUACAUGCUAAUUACAAAUACAAUUGAAGGGGACAAUGUUGCAUGGAGUUAUCAAUAAGGCAUAUAUCGAAAGGUUAAGGUCAUUAAGUCAAGAAGGCAAUGUGUACCUCAUUAAAAAUGUGAGAGUCAUUCCAGCAGCAGCAAAAUUUCGACCUGUACAAAAUGAGAUGAUGAUCAACUUCUCACCCACAACAAGUAUAGAGAAGAUUGAAGAUAAUGGAGACAUUCCAAAGCAUGGUUUCAACUUUUCAAGCAUGG
RNAcentral lists this long non-coding RNA (619 nucleotides) under Triticum aestivum (bread wheat). RNAcentral describes it as "long non-coding RNA (TAES_LNC024424)". The record is from RNAcentral. Lineage: Eukaryota; Viridiplantae; Streptophyta; Magnoliopsida; Poales; Poaceae.